CUAAUACUGCACCCAUUCACUCUUAUUGUCUGUGCACUCUGAUUUGCAUAUUAAUGUAUAAGAACUUUGUAACCGUGUCUUUGGACGUGUUGGUAAGAAAGCUUAAGUAAGUAGUCAAAAUAUUAUAAAACGGUUUGACUAUUUACAGUGCAGAGGUGCCAGCAUAAUGUUCCUUUAAGAUUCAUCAACUGAACAUAAUUGAAAGUCGUCUUAGUGAAGCAUAUUAGUACC
Molecule: non-coding RNA, 231 nt
Organism: Pelobates cultripes (western spadefoot toad)
Lineage: Eukaryota; Metazoa; Chordata; Amphibia; Anura; Pelobatidae
Source: the annotation of a GenBank genome assembly